GCUGGUGUGGCUCAACGGUAGAGCAGCUGACUUGUAAUCAGCAGGUUGUAGGUUCGACUCCUAUCACCAGCUCCA
This 75-nucleotide transfer RNA is filed under the name Clostridioides difficile. RNAcentral's name for it is "tRNA-Thr(tgt)". It matches the Rfam family "tRNA". From Rfam's summary of the family: Transfer RNA (tRNA) molecules are approximately 80 nucleotides in length. RNAcentral also lists the same sequence under 2 other names. The record is from RNAcentral. Lineage: Bacteria; Bacillati; Bacillota; Clostridia; Peptostreptococcales; Peptostreptococcaceae.